GUGCAUAUGGCUCAGGGGUAGAGUGCUUGCCUAGUGUGUACAAGGCCCUGGGUUUGAGUCCCAGCUAUAUUCA
This 73-nucleotide transfer RNA is filed under the name Mus musculus (house mouse). Its description in RNAcentral is "tRNA-Thr". The record is from RNAcentral. Lineage: Eukaryota; Metazoa; Chordata; Mammalia; Rodentia; Muridae.